Molecule: long non-coding RNA, 978 nt
Filed under: Felis catus (domestic cat)
Lineage: Eukaryota; Metazoa; Chordata; Mammalia; Carnivora; Felidae
Description: lncRNA (ENSFCAG00000046840.1)
Source: RNAcentral
CUGACUUUGGCUCAGGUUGUGAUCUCAUGGUUUGUGAGUUCCAACCCACACCGGGCUCUCUGCUGUCAGUGCAAAGCCUGCUUCGGAUCCUCUGCCCCCUUUCUCUCUAGCCCUCCCCUGCUCAUGUGCGCUCUCUCAAAAAUAAAUACACAUUAAAAAAAUUAAUGAAGAAAAAAAAAACUAAGAAGAGAGACUGGCACUAAGUCACUUUAGAGUCUUGUCCCUUACCAGGGGUACCACAAAUUGGCCCAGAAGGGUCCAAACAGCUUAAUUGGCCAAACUGCAAUAAAAGAGGACUCCCAGCAUGCAUUCUGGUGGAAUUACCCUGCCGUGGAGCCUAUUAGCUCAUCCCAGUUCACGUUUCCUUUCCACCAACAGGAAGUGACGGGAGGCAGCUGAAGCUGAGCAGCGGCAAGAAAGGAGAUUCCCCCAAACAAAAGUAUCUGCAGCUGUUUGGGACCAUCCUUAAAAUCAAUAACCAUGAGCAGCUGUCUCCCUGACAUCAACAUCACUAACUCAGGAAACCAAUGGUGGGCUCAGGGGUGCUGCUGCGAAUAUCUGCUCUCUGUAACCUGGGAACAGAGUUGAAAACCUUGGAAUGUAUGUCCAACAGUGAGAUAUCGAUGAUCAAGACAAAAGAAGUGACUGGUGAAUAUAAAUUACUAAACUGUAACAUGGAAGAAAAAAAACAAACAACCAAAGGCUUGCAAAAGACAUCAGUGAAAACAGAAUAAAGGUAAAUCUGAAGAUAAAAGAAAACAUAUGAAAGCUAGCUUUUGGUAUCCGGUUUGCUUUUCUUUAAAAAAAAAAAAAAAUCCAGUUUAGUCUCUUCCUAGUUUUGCAUUUCAAAAAGGUGCACCAAAACACUGAUAUUUUUUUUUCCUAGCUAAAUCUGUAAAACAAGAGAAGUAUAUAAAUCAAAGAACAGAAGGGCUUAAAAAGGGGAGUAUCUGAAUAAAUGUGUGUAUUAAAAUGUGU